UUCAUUUGUGGAUCUUGUUAAAAUGCAGAUUCUGAUUCAGUAAGCCUGGGCCAUGGCCUGAAAUUCUGCAUUUCUAACAACCUCCCAGGUGAUGCCAA
This 98-nucleotide microRNA precursor is filed under the name Equus caballus (horse). Its description in RNAcentral is "mir-544 microRNA precursor family". It matches the Rfam family "mir-544 microRNA precursor family". Lineage: Eukaryota; Metazoa; Chordata; Mammalia; Perissodactyla; Equidae. The record is from Rfam by way of RNAcentral.